This 459-nucleotide ribosomal RNA is filed under the name uncultured bacterium. RNAcentral's name for it is "bacterial SSU rRNA". It matches the Rfam family "Bacterial small subunit ribosomal RNA", at positions 338 to 795 of the family's 1533-position model. The record is from RNAcentral.
CCUANGGGGGGCAGCAGUGAGGAAUAUUGGUCAAUGGGCGCAAGCCUGAACCAGCCAAGCCGCGUGAAGGAUGAAGGCCCUAUGGGUUGUAAACUUCUUUUAUACGGGAAGAACCCCCCGACGUGUCGGGGACUGACGGUACCGUAUGAAUAAGCAUCGGCUAACUCCGUGCCAGCAGCCGCGGUAAUACGGAGGAUGCAAGCGUUAUCCGGAUUUAUUAGGUAUAAAGGGUGCGUAGGCGGACCUGUCAGUCAGUGGUGAAAUACUAGUGCUUAACACUAGAACUGCCAUUGAUACUGCAGGUCUUGAGUACAGUUGAGGUAGGCGGAAUGUGUGGUGUAGCGGUGAAAUGCUUAGAUAUCACACAGAACACCGAUUGCGAAGGCAGCUUACUAAGUUGUAACUGACGCUGAUGCACGAAAGCAUGGGGAGCAAACAGGAUUAGAUACCCGUNUANUC